UACUUUGUUAGUCUUGUUGCUAGGAGGCGGGGCUAGAACUGGCUUGUUUCCGUAAGCCACACCUCCUAGCAGGCCAUGCUGGCUUCUGACCGCAAAGGUUGCCAUGCAACCGGGAGCGGCUUUAGGCCUCCUUUUCUUUUGCAUUUCUUCUCCGCGUAUUUCCCCUCCUCUCAGCCCCUUCUUACCGCCGAACUCCUUCUUUAUCACCAUCUAUGCCCUCCCCAUCCCCCUCAGCCUCUUCGGAGUCGUGGAGUGGUGAAACAAAAGACUUCUUCGUUUUUUCUUUUUUUUUUUUUUUUGAGACAGAGUCUUGCUCUGUCGCCCAAGCUGGAGUGCAGUUGCGCGAUCUCGGUUCACUGCAACCUCCGCCUCCCGGGUUCAAGCAAUUCUCCUGCCUCAGCCUCCCGAGUAGCUGGGAUUACAGGGUUGCACCAUGAUGGUGCAUGCCUGGCUAUUUUUUGUAUUUUUAAUAGAGACGGGCGUUUCACCAUGUUGGCCAAGCUGGUCUCGAACUCCUGACCUCAUGAUCCGCCCACCUUGGCCCUCCAAAGUGCUGGGGUUACAGGCGUGAGCCACCGCGCCUGGCCAAGAUUUACUUUUUUCUAAAUGCUAUGCUAUUUGGUAUCGGUCAUGGGGAAUGGAACAGGGGAAGACACCCGAGUUCAGAGCCAGCCUCCAAGAGUAUCUUACAUCCCAGCGUCUCCUGGAAGGCCGUAUGAUCCAGCACUGGGGAGAGGAGGGAAAUCCCCAGGACUCGAAUGCCCAUCCCACCCUUGGUGUAGUGAGGACUCAUCCUGCUGGAAAGGCCCCUGAAGAACUUCAAGUUCCAAUAUCCCGUUUUUACAGAUGGGGAAACUGACAUGAAGAGGAGUCCAAAGUGACACAGUCAGGCCAGAAAUGUUGCUUCUGAAGUCCUGAGUCCACCUCCUAGCACUGCCAAGCAGUCCACCUGGAGGUGAUGAGAACUUCCAGGCUUUGGUAAUGGACAACUCUGUAUCCCUGGAGCCUUCAUUCCUUUUGGCAUUACAGAACCACAAGAAGUCAUCUAGAAUCAUUGAGAUUCUCAACUCCAUUGGGCAAACUGGAACCAGCAAAAUCUCAGAUAUCUAGAAUUGCCACUGCUUCCUUGACUCUGUGAUCAGUCUACAGCCACAGAAUCCUGAUUCCCUUUGGACAUUCUAGAAUGGCACUUUAAAAAAAAACAACCCACCCAGUGGAUCCUUUCAAAGCACUGCUUAUUCUCUUGGCUGGGUGCUCUACAGCCAGAAGUUGGAGUUAUCUAAUAUCAAGAACUCUUAAUCUGUCACUUCAGUCUUUCUAAACCCACAGACUAACAAUGUUUUGUGCAUUCUA
RNAcentral lists this long non-coding RNA (1353 nucleotides) under Homo sapiens (human). RNAcentral's name for it is "HSALNT0398397". Lineage: Eukaryota; Metazoa; Chordata; Mammalia; Primates; Hominidae. The record is from RNAcentral.